This 401-nucleotide unclassified non-coding RNA is filed under the name soil metagenome. RNAcentral's name for it is "partial contains 5.8S ribosomal RNA, internal transcribed spacer 2, and large subunit ribosomal RNA". The stretch from base 1 to 121 matches the Rfam family "5.8S ribosomal RNA", at positions 35 to 154 of the family's 154-position model. The record is from RNAcentral.
GAUGAAGAACGUAGCGAAAUGCGAUAAGUAAUGUGAAUUGCAGAAUUCAGUGAAUCAUCGAAUCUUUGAACGCACCUUGCGCCCUUUGGCUAUUCUGAAGGGCAUGCCUGUUUGAGUAUCAUGAACACCUCAACUCUCAUGGUUUGCCAUGAUGAGCUUGGACUUUGGGGGUCUUGCUGGCCUACGGUCGGCUCCUCUCAAAUGAAUCAGCUUGCCAGUGUUUGGUGGCAUCACGGGUGUGAUAACUAUCUACGCUUGUGGUUUCCCACCAGGUAACCUUCAGUGAUGGAGGUUCGCUGGGGCUCAUAAAUGUCCCUCCACAGUGAGGACAGCUUUUGAACGUUUGAUCUCAUAUCAGGUAGGACUACCCGCUGAACUUAAGCAUAUCAAUAAGCGGAGGA